AUGUCCAACAAGUUUGGGCACAUCCAGAAGGUCAAGUUCCCAGCGCUGUCCAAGCUCCUCGCCGUAGGCGUAGCGACCCACGAGGGUGAGAAAUGGGUUAAGCACAGAAGGAUACUCAACCCCGCGUUCCAUGUCGAGAAGCUCAAGAUCAUGUUGCCAGCCUUCUCUUUGUGUUGUGAAGAGCUUGUUAACAAAUGGGCACAGUCCCUUGGUCCCGACGGCUCGUGUGAGGUGGAUGCUUCCUUAGAGCUCCAGAGCCUCACCGGAGAUGUCAUCUCACGCACCGCAUUCGGCAGCAGUUAUCUUGAAGGAAGAAGGAUUUUUCAACUGCAGUCUGAGCAAGUCGGGCGGUUCAUGGCAGCCAUUCACAAGAUCAUGAUUCCGGGUUACACGUCCUUCCCUACUAAAAAUAAUCGAAGGAUGCGUCAAAUUAACAACGAGAUAGAGUCCAUUCUACGAGCUCUAAUUGGGAAAAGGAUGCAAGCUAUGCAAGAAGGAGGAAGCACAAACAAUGACUUGAUCGGCUUGUUGCUGGAGUCAAACAAGACAGACGUAAAUGAAAAUGGCCAAUCCAUUCCAGGAAUGUCCAUAGAAGAGGUAAUAGAGGAGUGCAAGUUGUUCUACUUUGCAGGGAUGGAGACAACAUCAAUAUUACUUACAUGGACAAUGGUCGUACUUAGCAUGCACCCAGAGUGGCAGGACCGUGCAAGGGAGGAGGUUCUUGGCCUAUUUGGAAAACAUAAGCUUGACUACGAGGGUCUUAAUAGACUAAAAACCGUGACAAUGAUUCUUUACGAAGUUCUCCGGUUGUACCCACCGGCUAGUGCAUUCACCCGGCAGACAUACAAGGAGAUUGAGAUCGGAGGCAUCAGGUACCCACCCGGCGUGAUUUUCGAGAUGUCCGUGUUGUACACCCACCACGACAAGGAUAUCUGGGGAGAUGACGUCCACCAAUUCAGGCCCGAUAGGUUCGCUGAGGGGAUCUUCAAGGCGUCCAAGGAACCGGGAGCAUUUUUCCCGUUCGGAUGGGGGCCACGGAUAUGUAUCGGUCAGAAUUUUGCACUCCUUGAGGCCAAGAUGGCGUUGUGCAUGAUUCUUCGGUGCUUUGAGUUUGAGCUCGCGCCGUCAUAUACUCACGCCCCACAUACCGUAAUGAUGUUGCGUCCCAUGCAUGGUGCUCAAAUUAAGCUGCGGGCGAUCUCUUCGUAG
RNAcentral lists this ribosomal RNA (1209 nucleotides) under Triticum aestivum (bread wheat). Its description in RNAcentral is "partial small subunit ribosomal RNA". The record is from RNAcentral. Lineage: Eukaryota; Viridiplantae; Streptophyta; Magnoliopsida; Poales; Poaceae.